CUUCAAGGUACAAGCUCAAGCUGCAAACAACUUCGUUUUGUUCAUAGCGUCAUCUCGUUUGGCUUAUCAAAGCGUCCUUUUUUUCCUGUUGUAAAUUGCGUCGUGUUUGGCAUCUUUAUUAUUAUCGAAGAUUGUGCUCAGGGAUAAGUAAUAGUAUAUAAAUACAAAAGUAUUUUUAUAUUAGGUAGCUAAUAAUUUGAUAAUACAACCCGAAUCUCUUUUGAUAUAAUGGCUGACUCUAACGAACAGCCCCCGGCUAAGAAAAGCCGCUAUGAAUCUCCUAAAGAGGAUGAUGCCCCCCCCACGUUGAAGGCACAGCCUUCAUCAGUAGAGAAAGAGGACGUGGUCAAUUCCACCACAGCCACAAAUGGCAGUCCUCUGAAAAUUAAGUCUUCUGAUAAAGAUGAUGUGGAUCCGGAGAUAGAUUCCACUACCAACGGGGAUAAAUCUCCGUCUGAGCAGGAGAAGGAGGAAGAGGAGGAGGAAAAGGAAGAGGAGGAGGAGAAAGAAGAGGAGGAGGAGGAGGAGAAAGAAGAGGAGGAGGAGGAGAAAGAAGAGGAGGAGGAAGCCGAAGAUGAGGAUGACGAUGGAGAUAAAGAUGAAGGAGAUAAGGAUAAAGAUGAUGAUUCAGGUGACGAAAAUAAUGCCAAAAGUGACGAUGAUGGUGGAAAAAGUGACGAUGAUGGUGGAAAAAGUGACGAUGAUGGACCCGGAAGUGACGACGAAACGAAAAGCGACGAGGACAAAGAGAAAACUGCUUUUGAUACUGAUGAUGACGAUAAAUCAAUUUCAUCGGAUGAAGAUGCCGAUUUAAUCGAAUCACGAAGCAAGAAAGAGAUACCUCUUGAAGCUUUCAAUAUGGAUGAAGAGAAAGACCUGGGAAAAUUUGACAAAGACGGACAUUUCGUCUGGAAUUCCAAAACUCGAGAGCCCACUGAUGCUUGGCUGGAAGGCGAGGGCUCUAAGCCAGUAACAGUAAAUGCAAGGGCCAGCAAACGAUCCCAAAAGAUCCGUAUGAAAGUAGUGGAGGAUGAAGAUACACCUAGCGACGAAGUUUUGAAGGAAAGGCUGAUCAUCAUUGAAAACUUGAUGAUUGAGGAUGAUGAGACAGUACAAGGAGCUAUUGCUCGCAUACAGCUCAAUCGCAUAGAUAAGAAAUCGACUGCUUCGGAGAGACUGGCCAGCAAAAAGGCUGGUGGAUCAUACACCAAAGACUGUAGCAAGGACUGUGAGGAAAAUCCCCUCUCGAAGUUAUUAGAUGCAGUUGACGAAUUCCCCGUGCAGAGCGAUAUUUUUUCUGUAACCAAAAGCGAAAUUUCUUCCAUUAUCGCUUCACCUGUUGAAUUUGAGCAAUUCAAGAGGAAGGCCUAUCCACUGCUAAUCGAUAUAACAUCUGAAGGAAGCGCCGAUAGCGACAAUGGAGGGAAGAGAUCCCCUAUCAUGUUGUCCUCAGAUGAAGAGGACGAAGUGGUAGAUGAAGAAGAAGCUGGCAACGGAAUAGUUGUCAUGGAGAGAGAUGAAAUGGAUGACGAUGACGACAACGACAACGUCGAGGGAAAGGAAGCGGCUAAGGAACAGGAGCCGAUGGACAUGUUUGCAGACUAAAUCUGCCAAUUAAUUUUUCUAUUCAGUCAAGUUUUCGGUGCUUUAUGCCAAAAUUACACUUUAUUAUUGUACAGGUUAUUGUAACCUGGUUACCAUUGAUUAAUUAAUUAAUAUGUUCAAAGUUUAAUUAUAUCAGUAGUAUUAAGUUUGAAAGAAUAGUAGAAAAACAGUUAAGUUUGGACAAGCCAUUGGCUGAUUACAAGUAUUAAGUUGUUACCAUUCCAUUGAAGGGAUGGAUGUCCCUUCUAUACCUUCCAUAAGAAGGGAUAUAGUAAUAAUUUUAUAACGUAAUAAGAACUGAUUUUUUUGUACCUGUUAGUUUAUUAUCCUUUAAUAACUUGCUGAUAAGUUUUGGUACUUGAAGUUGUCGUUGUCGAGGUGUUGUGUCGUAAUUCUAUUCACUUGUCGAGGUCGUGUCGUUGUCGAGGUAUUGUGUCGUAAUUCUAUUUGAACAUCGAUUCACUUGUAUUUCAUGUCGCUCAACUUUCAACUAAGAUUUGCAAGAGUAGAGAAAUAAGAGGUCUCAAUUUUGUAAUCAUUCAUAAUGUGAAAACGAUUAAUCUUUCAAGCUAAAAACAAUGACAAUCUUUUCAAAAGAUGCAUGGUGUCACAUACAUUAGGUAUGUGAUAUAAUCUAUGAUACACUAUCAUUCACUAACUCUGACGUGAUCUCAUGCAGUGAGAUGUUCAUGGAUCAAGUAAGAUAUCUUAUCUAUCUAUCUUGAAUCCAUCCACAUAAGUGACCUGAAUAUUAUUCAAUUUACUUGUGUGGAUGGUUUCAAUGACUAUUUCAUUGACCUAUUUCACUAUAUCAUCUAUCUUUGGAAAAGAUUGUCAUCGUCCUAAGUAAUCUUUCGGUGUUAGACUAUCCAGCAGGCUAAAAAAUUAUCACCAAUGAAAAGUUUUUUAGCCUGUUGCACAGCCUUAAUGAUUGAUAAUAAUGCUUCUCAUGUUUUGAUUUAUUUACCAUUCACAUUGAAAAUAAGAUAUAAUCGUUAAGAAAUGUGUUGACCAAAUUGCUUCUGUAUAUCUAUUUUGCAACUGGUUUCCAAUACCAGGUUGCAGAAACGUCAUUCUAUCUCAUGUUGGAUGUUUUCUAUCGAUGUUCCUAUUGUAAAAUGUUGAUGUAUUUUUCUACUUUUGUAUUGUAAAUAAACUCAUUCUGACACGCCAAAAAUAUGGAAUUGAUUGAAAUAUUUAUUGUUGAUGUUAAACAAUAAUUCAUAACCUCCUGUACAACUUGUUGAAAGGGAAAAUAUACACUUAUUG
Molecule: unclassified non-coding RNA, 2874 nt
Filed under: Nilaparvata lugens (brown planthopper)
Lineage: Eukaryota; Metazoa; Arthropoda; Insecta; Hemiptera; Delphacidae
Description: cilia- and flagella-associated protein 251, transcript variant X1
Source: RNAcentral